RNAcentral lists this ribosomal RNA (253 nucleotides) under uncultured bacterium. Its description in RNAcentral is "partial 16S ribosomal RNA". It matches the Rfam family "Bacterial small subunit ribosomal RNA", at positions 524 to 776 of the family's 1533-position model. The record is from RNAcentral.
UACAGAGGGGGCAAGCGUUGUUCGGAAUUACUGGGCGUAAAGGGCGCGUAGGCGGCCUGUUAAGUCGAACGUGAAAUCCCCGGGCUCAAUCCGGGAACUGCGUCCGAUACUGGCAGGCUUGAAUCCGGGAGAGGGAUGCGGAAUUCCAGGUGUAGCGGUGAAAUGCGUAGAUAUCUGGAGGAACACCGGUGGCGAAGGCGGCAUCCUGGACCGGCAUUGACGCUGAGGCGCGAAAGCCAGGGGAGCAAACGGG